This 517-nucleotide ribosomal RNA is filed under the name Salmonella enterica subsp. enterica serovar Virchow. Its description in RNAcentral is "partial 23S ribosomal RNA". It matches the Rfam family "Bacterial large subunit ribosomal RNA", at positions 1 to 559 of the family's 2925-position model. The record is from RNAcentral. Lineage: Bacteria; Pseudomonadati; Pseudomonadota; Gammaproteobacteria; Enterobacterales; Enterobacteriaceae. RNAcentral also lists the same sequence under 1 other name.
UUAAGCGACUAAGCGUACACGGUGGAUGCCCUGGCAGUCAGAGGCGAUGAAGGGCGUGCUAAUCUGCGAUAAGCGCCGGUAAGGUGAUAUGAACCGUUAUAACCGGCGAUACCCGAAUGGGGAAACCCAGUGUGACUCGUCACACUAUCAUUAACUGAAUCCAUAGGUUAAUGAGGCGAACCGGGGGAACUGAAACAUCUAAGUACCCCGAGGAAAAGAAAUCAACCGAGAUUCCCCCAGUAGCGGCGAGCGAACGGGGAGGAGCCCAGAGCCUGAAUCAGCAUGUGUGUUAGUGGAAGCGUCUGGAAAGGCGCGCGAUACAGGGUGACAGCCCCGUACACAAAAGCGCAUGUGCUGUGAGCUCGAUGAGUAGGGCGGGACACGUGGUAUCCUGUCUGAAUAUGGGGGGACCAUCCUCCAAGGCUAAAUACUCCUGACUGACCGAUAGUGAACCAGUACCGUGAGGGAAAGGCGAAAAGAACCCCGGCGAGGGGAGUGAAAAAGAACCUGAAACCGU